CCUACGGGGGGCAGCAGUUGGGAAUCUUGCACAAUGGGGGAAACCCUGAUGCAGCGACGCCGCGUGGAGGAAGAAGGGGCUAGGCUCGUAAACUCCUUUUUCAGGGAAAGACUGAGGACGGUACCCUGAGAAUAAGCUCCGGCUAACUACGUGCCAGCAGCCGCGGUAAGACGGAGGGAGCGAGCGUGGGCCUGAUUUACUGGGCGUAAAGAGCACGUAGGCGGUCUGUUAAGUGAGAAGUGAAAUCGCCAGCGCUCAACGCGGAAACGGCUUUUCAUACUGGCAGACUUGAGGGAUGCAGAGGCAAGUAGAAUUCCUGGUGUACCGGUGACAUGGGUUGAUAUCAGGAGGAAUACCAAUGGCGAAGGCAGCUUGCUGGGCAUCAUCUGACGCUGAGGUGCGAAAGCGUGGGUAGCAAACAGGAUUAGAUACCCGAGUAGUC
Molecule: ribosomal RNA, 442 nt
Filed under: uncultured bacterium
Lineage: Bacteria
Description: partial 16S ribosomal RNA
Rfam family: Bacterial small subunit ribosomal RNA
Source: RNAcentral